AUUCAAGAGCACAUAACAUAGCCCCAGAAAGAAAGGAUCGGUGUAUACAAAUCAACGUGAACAUCAGCUCAAAAUUCAAUUUUACCGUGGAAAUAAAAAAAAUAGAAUUCCAUGCCUUCUGCUUUGUAAUUAUAAUUAUGUCGGCUAAAUUGGUAAAUUCAGGCUGCAGCUGCAGGUUGAGGUUGAAAACAUGAAAAACGACAUGGCUUUGGCAUCCCACCAAAUAAGGGAAGAUGUUAACUGCGCAGUUGAGACUCGGUUGGCCUUGUUCUGUUUCAUUUUCAUUCUCUUCAAUCAGGCGGUUAUUUCCACGCCCCCUUCCCUCGUUUCCUUCGCCUCUGUUUCUCCCCUUAUACUCUUGUUCAUUUCUGCCUGUUUCCCUCACUUUCGCUUUGCUUUCUCAGCUCUUUCUUACUCUGAGAAAGCACAAUGGCUUCUGCUUUCUCUGCCACCAAGUUCACUCAGCCUUUGCCUCUCAAUACCUCCACCUCCAGAUCUCACGGAAAGCAAUCUGUUUUCGAUCCUCUCAAAAGUUCCACUUCUUUCCUAGGAUCUACUCGCAAACUUCGCUUCACUUCUUUUCCCAAAUUGAAUCAACCCAAUUCCCACCGUCCAUCACUUGUUGUUGCCGUUUCUGAAGCCGUUAAGGAAAAGAAGCUCAAAUCAACCUCCAAUCUGUUUGGAGUGUUUGUUAGCAUGGAGGAACCGAGAAAGAGGACAAUUUUACCCCAUUAAGCUUAAUACAAAACACCUGCUGUGUGUGCUUUAAUUUCUCUUAUUUUAUGAUUAAAAGGACCAAAGUUUCAACAUUUAAUUUUUCAGUGUUUGUCUUCUUUUUGCAAAUGCAGUAACUAUACUUCCCUUGUCUUCACUAAUGUUUCUGGAUGGCUGUAAUUCUGUAAUAAGCUUUGAUAUGUGCCUAUGUACUACUUGACGUCUGAAUUCGAGAAACUCCGUUUAAGGUACUAUUUAAUGAUCCAAAGAGAUAACGAACUUUGUUUUUUCACUUAUUUACUUGUUUCUGUAUUUAGUUGAUCACAAAAGAAGAAGGCUUGGAGCUAUAUGAGGAUAUGGUGUUGGGCAGAGCCUUUGAGGACAUGUGUGCCCAGAUGUAUUACAGGGGAAAAAUGUUUGGUUUUGUUCAUCUCUAUAACGGUCAAGAGGCUGUGUCAACUGGGUUCAUCAAGCUUUUGAAGAAGGAGGAUUAUGUUGUUAGCACUUAUCGGGAUCACGUGCAUGCAUUGAGUAAGGGUGUCCCUGCUCGUGCUGUAAUGAGUGAGCUCUUUGGCAAGACCACCGGGUGUUGUCGAGGCCAAGGUGGAUCUAUGCACAUGUUUUCGAAAGAGCACAAUUUGCUUGGUGGUUUUGCGUUUAUUGGUGAGGGAAUUCCAGUAGCAACUGGUGCAGCUUUUACCUCUAAGUAUAAAAGGGAGGUUUUGAAGGAGGGAGAUAGCGAGGAUGUGACAUUGGCGUUUUUUGGAGAUGGAACUUGUAAUAAUGGACAAUUCUUUGAGUGUUUGAACCUGGCGGCAUUGUGGAAAUUGCCCAUUGUGUUUGUUGUGGAGAAUAACUUGUGGGCAAUUGGAAUGUCACACCUGAGGGCAACUUCAGAUCCAGAGAUUUGGAAGAAGGGUCCAGCAUUUGGAAUGCCAGGUGUUCAUGUUGAUGGAAUGGAUGUUUUGAAAGUUAGGGAGGUGGCCAAGGCGGCAAUUGGAAGGGCUAGGAGGGGAGAAGGACCAACAUUGGUGGAAUGUGAGACUUACAGGUUUAGAGGACACUCAUUAGCUGAUCCGGAUGAGCUUCGUGACCCUGGUAAGCAUCAAAAUUAGUUCUUUUAAAUUCAGUAUCUACUUUUCUUCUUGUUUAUUGAUUAACCUGUUGGAAUUUCAUUCUUUUUGUUUUGUGAUUUAGCUUUUACCUGUGCAACUUUAGCUGAUGGUAUACUUUAAUGGCAGCCCCAGCAUGCCCAUGGCCCCUCUUAUUGUCCUUGUUGACAUCCACCAUUUUGUAUAAAAUUUUGGGUUCACUUUCGUUUGAAGUUUCAUUUGACACAUUUGAUUGAGAUGCACCUAUAUAAUUGAAAAGGUGAAUUGGUUUUAUUUUUCCAAUAGAUAGGUCUCUCGAGUCUUAUUUGAGUCGAAUUUUGACAAUUUAAAGUUCUGUUUGUUUCAUAGAAAAUAAUUUAUAUAUGGAAAAUGUUUUUCCUAGAAAUUGUAUUCUAUAGAAAUUGUUGUUUAAGAAAAUAUUUUCAAUAAAAAUAUUUGGUUGCAAUGUUAAAUUAAUGGUGUGUAUUUAUGUCAUGCAUGUACAAGUGUUUUUAUAUUUUAAUAAAAUUAUGAAAAUUCAGAAUAUGACUUCUUCUUUUAAAAAGAAGAAUUUAUUUUCCCUAAAAAUAGCUUAGUUUUCCCUUCAAGUAGGAAAAUAUUUUUUGUUGGCUAAUUUCCUAAAUGCCCCAAAUGCUAGAAAAUGUGAAAAAUGUUUUUUAGAAAAAUAUUUUCUACAAAACAUUAUAAUUUGGUUAGAGUACACUUAAAUUUCCAGAAUCCUGAUGGGAGUUUAAGCAUUAACUUUUUGUCAUAUGCUCAUCCUUUUUCCCUCUCUGUUAUUUCCCCUUUUGUAGGGUCCCCCCCUUUUCUUGGGUGCUGGGUGCUUAGGAUGCACUCAAAACAUUCCCUUAUUUAUGUAUCAUGGGUUUAGGAUAGACUCCACCAGAAUUCUUGAAAUAUCAGCGGCAAUUCAUUAGAAUGAUGAUGCCUUUUAUCAGAAUUCAUUUACUGAUGUUUUUAAAACUCUGAAGACACUUUUUAUCCUGCACAAAAUAUGAUAAUAUGACCACAAGUUACCAUUAGAAUAUAUAACCUCACUCUGGUGAUUAGCCUCUGAAUAUUUUGCAAAUGUAGUGGCCAGAGACACCAUAUAACCUCACAAAAAUCUUCAUUUUAGCAUUUAAUAUGUUAAAUUAGUUGAUAGAGUAUCAUUAAAAUGGUUGAUCAAUGUAUAGGAGCCCUUAUGUUUCUGUUCUCUAAUUUGUAUUUAGUCAUUAUCCAGUAAGUUCAUAAUGUUUCCCCCUUGGCAGCUGAGAAGGCUCACUAUGCUGCUAGGGAUCCCAUCACAUUCUUGAAGAAGUACAUCAUUGAGAACGAACUAGCCAGUGAAGCAGAAUUGAAGGCCAUUGAGAAGAAGAUAGAUGAAGUGGUUGAGGAUGCUGUUGAAUUUGCAGAUGAGAGUCCUCUUCCACCUCGCAGCCAGCUACU
RNAcentral lists this unclassified non-coding RNA (3254 nucleotides) under Hevea brasiliensis (rubber tree). Lineage: Eukaryota; Viridiplantae; Streptophyta; Magnoliopsida; Malpighiales; Euphorbiaceae. The record is from RNAcentral.